GCAGAGCACUCCUACGGGAGGCAGCAGUGGGGAAUAUUGCACAAUGGGGGCAAGCCUGAUGGAGCAACACCGCGUGAGUGAAGAAGGUUUCGGCUCGUAAAGCUCUGUUGUUAAAGAAGAACACGUAUGAGAGUAACUGUUCAUACGUUGACGGUAUUUAACCAGAAAGUCACGGCUAACUACGUGCCAGCAGCCGCGGUAAUACGUAGGUGGCAAGCGUUAUCCGGAUUUAUUGGGCGUAAAGAGAGUGCAGGCGGUUUUCUAAGUCUGAUGUGAAAGCCUUCGGCUUAACCGGAGAAGUGCAUCGGAAACUGGAUAACUUGAGUGCAGAAGAGGGUAGUGGAACUCCAUGUGUAGCGGUGGAAUGCGUAGAUAUAUGGAAGAACACCAGUGGCGAAGGCGGCUACCUGGUCUGCAACUGACGCUGAGACUCGAAAGCAUGGGUAGCGAACAGGAUUAGAUACCCUGGUAG
This 472-nucleotide ribosomal RNA is filed under the name uncultured bacterium. RNAcentral's name for it is "bacterial SSU rRNA". It matches the Rfam family "Bacterial small subunit ribosomal RNA", at positions 328 to 793 of the family's 1533-position model. The record is from RNAcentral.